GACGAACGCUGGCGGCGUGCUUAACACAUGCAAGUCGAACGGAAAGGCCCUGCUUUUGUGGGGUGCUCGAGUGGCGAACGGGUGAGUAACACGUGAGUAACCUGCCCUUGACUUUGGGAUAACUUCAGGAAACUGGGGCUAAUACCGGAUAGGAGCUCCUGCUGCAUGGUGGGGGUUGGAAAGUUUCGGCGGUUGGGGAUGGACUCGCGGCUUAUCAGCUUGUUGGUGGGGUAGUGGCUUACCAAGGCUUUGACGGGUAGCCGGCCUGAGAGGGUGACCGGCCACAUUGGGACUGAGAUACGGCCCAGAAUCCUACGGGAGGCAGCAGUGGGGAAUAUUGCGCAAUGGGCGGAAGCCUGAUGCAGCAACGCCGCGUGCGGGAUGACGGCCUUCGGGUUGUAAACCGAUUUCGCCUGUGACGAAGCGUGAGUGACGGUAAUGGGUAAAGAAGCACCGGCUAACUACGUG
Molecule: ribosomal RNA, 468 nt
Filed under: uncultured bacterium
Lineage: Bacteria
Description: partial 16S ribosomal RNA
Rfam family: Bacterial small subunit ribosomal RNA
Source: RNAcentral